This 497-nucleotide ribosomal RNA is filed under the name uncultured bacterium. RNAcentral's name for it is "partial 16S ribosomal RNA". It matches the Rfam family "Bacterial small subunit ribosomal RNA", at positions 28 to 507 of the family's 1533-position model. The record is from RNAcentral.
GAUGAACGCUGGCGGCGUGCCUAAUACAUGCAAGUCGAGCGAACAGACGAGGAGCUUGCUCCUCUGACGUUAGCGGCGGACGGGUGAGUAACACGUGGAUAACCUACCUAUAAGACUGGGAUAACUUCGGGAAACCGGAGCUAAUACCGGAUAAUAUAUUGAACCGCAUGGUUCAAUAGUGAAAGACGGUUUUGCUGUCACUUAUAGCUGGAUCCGCGCCGCAUUGGCUAGUUGGUAAGGUAACGGCUUACCAAGGCGACGAUGCGUAGCCGACCUGAGAGGGUGAUCGGCCACACGGGAGCGGAGACACGGUCCAGACUCCUACGGGAGGCAGCAGUAGGGAAUCUUCCGCAAUGGGCGAAAGCCUGACGGAGCAACGCCGCGUGAGUGAUGAAGGUCUUCGGAUCGUAAAACUCUGUUAUUAGGGAAGAACAAAUGUGUAAGUAACUAUGCACGUAUUGACGGUACCUAAUCAGAAAGCCACGGCUAACUACGUG